AAGACCUUGCGCUUUUGGAGCGGCCGAUGCCUGAUUAGCUUGUUGGUAAGGUAAAAGCUUACCAAGGCUUCGAUCAGUAGCUGGUCUGAGAGGACGACCAGCCACACUGGGACUGAGACACGGCCCAGACUCCUACGGGAGGCAGCAGUGGGGAAUUUUGGACAAUGGGGGCAACCCUGAUCCAGCCAUGCCGCGUGAGUGAAGAAGGCCUUCGGGUUGUAAAGCUCUUUCAGCCGGGAAGAAAAGGUUGCGACUAAUAAUCGCAAUCCAUGACGGUACCGAAAGAAGAAGCACCGGCUAACUACGUGCCAGCAGCCGCGGUAAUACGUAGGGUGCGAGCGUUAAUCGGAAUUACUGGGCGUAAAGCGUGCGCAGGUGGUUUUGUAAGUCAGAUGUGAAAGCCCCGGGCUCAACCUGGGAAC
This 422-nucleotide ribosomal RNA is filed under the name uncultured bacterium. RNAcentral describes it as "bacterial SSU rRNA". It matches the Rfam family "Bacterial small subunit ribosomal RNA", at positions 207 to 621 of the family's 1533-position model. The record is from RNAcentral.